ACGGGGAGCAGCAGGCGCGAAACCUUUACACUGCACGACAGUGCGAUAAGGGGACCCCGAGUGCGAGGGCAUACAGUCCUCGCUUUUCGUGACCGUAAGGUGGUCACAGAAUAAGAGCUGGGCAAGACCGGUGCCAGCCGCCGCGGUAAUACCGGCAGCUCGAGUGAUGGCCACUAUUAUUGGACCUAAAGCGUCCGUAGCCGGCCGAACGGGUCCGUCGGGAAAUCCACUCGCCCAACGAGUGGACGUCCGGCGGAAACCAGUCGGCUUGGGGCCGGGAGACCAGAGAGGUACGUCCGGGGUAGGAGUGAAAUCCUGUAAUCCUGGACGGACCGCCGGUAGCGAAGGCGUCUCUGGAGAACGGACCCGACGGUGAGGGACGAAAGCUUGGGUCUCGAACCGGAUUAGAUACCCGGGUAGUCCAAGCUGUAUUAGAUGCUCUCUAGGUGGGGCGAAGGGUACGAGCCAGCGCAUUGCCGUAGGGAACCCGAGAAGCGAGCCGCCUGGGAAGUAUGUCCGCAAGGUCGAAAUCAAAGGAAUUGGCGGGGGACCAC
This 554-nucleotide ribosomal RNA is filed under the name uncultured Halococcus sp. Its description in RNAcentral is "bacterial SSU rRNA". It matches the Rfam family "Archaeal small subunit ribosomal RNA", at positions 325 to 879 of the family's 1478-position model. Lineage: Archaea; Methanobacteriati; Methanobacteriota; Halobacteria; Halobacteriales; Halococcaceae. The record is from RNAcentral.